AAGGGCGCACGGUGGAUGCCUUGGCACUAGAAGCCGACGAAGGACGUUACUAACGACGAUAUGCUUUGGGUAGCUGUAAGUAAGCGUUGAUCCAGAGAUUUCCGAAUGGGGGAACCCAGCACGAGUUAUGUCGUGUUAUCGACAAGUGAAUUCAUAGCUUGUCAGAAGGCAGACCCGGAGAACUGAAACAUCUUAGUACCCGGAGGAAGAGAAAGAAAAAUCGAUUCCCUGAGUAGCGGCGAGCGAAACGGGAAGAGCCCAAACCAAUAAGCUUGCUUAUUGGGGUUGUAGGACACUCUAUACGGAGUUACAAAGGAAUAUAUUAGACGAAUCAUCUGGAAAGUUGAAUCAAAGAAGGUAAUAAUCCUGUAGUUGAAAAUAUAUUCUCUCUUGAGUGGAUCCUGAGUACGACGGAGCACGUGAAAUUCCGUCGGAAUCUGGGAGGACCAUCUCCUAAGGCUAAAUACUCUCUAGUGACCGAUAGUGAACCAGUACCGUGAGGGAAAGGUGAAAAGUACCCCGGAAGGGGAGUGAAAGAGAACUUGAAACCGUGUGCUUACAAGUAGUCAGAGCCCGUUAAUGGGUGAUGGCGUGCCUUUUGUAGAAUGAACCGGCGAGUUACGAUCUGAUGCAAGGUUAAGCAGGAAAUGUGGAGCCGUAGCGAAAGCGAGUCUGAAUAGGGCGUUGAGUAUUUGGUCGUAGACCCGAAACCAGGUGAUCUACCCAUGGUCAGGUUGAAGUUCAGGUAACACUGAAUGGAGGACCGAACCGACUUACGUUGAAAAGUGAGCGGAUGAACUGUGGGUAGCGGAGAAAUUCCAAUCGAACUUGGAGAUAGCUGGUUCUCUCCGAAAUAGCUUUAGGGCUAGCCUCAAGUGAUGAUUAUUGGAGGUAGAGCACUGUUUGGACGAGGGGCCCCUCUCGGGUUACCGAAUUCAGACAAACUCCGAAUGCCAAUUAAUUUAACUUGGGAGUCAGAACAUGGGUGAUAAGGUCCGUGUUCGAAAGGGAAACAGCCCAGACCACCAGCUAAGGUCCCAAAAUAUAUGUUAAGUGGAAAAGGAUGUGGCGUUGCCCAGACAACUAGGAUGUUGGCUUAGAAGCAGCCAUCAUUUAAAGAGUGCGUAAUAGCUCACUAGUCGAGUGACACUGCGCCGAAAAUGUACCGGGGCUAAACAUAUUACCGAAGCUGUGGAUUGUCCGUAGGACAAUGGUAGGAGAGCGUUCUAAGGGCGUUGAAGCAUGAUCGCAAGGACAUGUGGAGCGCUUAGAAGUGAGAAUGCCGGUGUGAGUAGCGAAAGACGGGUGAGAAUCCCGUCCACCGAUUGACUAAGGUUUCCAGAGGAAGGCUCGUCCGCUCUGGGUUAGUCGGGUCCUAAGCUGAGGCCGACAGGCGUAGGCGAUGGAUAACAGGUUGAUAUUCCUGUACCACCUAGCAUCGUUUUAAUCGAUGGGGGG
RNAcentral lists this ribosomal RNA (1458 nucleotides) under Staphylococcus sp. HMSC074C12. RNAcentral's name for it is "bacterial LSU rRNA". It matches the Rfam family "Bacterial large subunit ribosomal RNA", at positions 13 to 1471 of the family's 2925-position model. The record is from RNAcentral. Lineage: Bacteria; Bacillati; Bacillota; Bacilli; Caryophanales; Staphylococcaceae.